AUCCAACUGACCAGUCCCAAAUAGGACGAAACGCGCGUCGAACUGCAU
Non-coding RNA from Schistosoma margrebowiei, 48 nucleotides. The record is from Rfam. NCBI's taxonomy places the organism in Eukaryota, Metazoa, Platyhelminthes, Trematoda, Strigeidida, Schistosomatidae.